GAAUUCCCGCUUUCAUGCAGGGUUCUAUACUGCAUUUCAACACAACAGAAGCUGGAAGGAAACCUCCUUCAAGGUUACAGAUGGAUCUCAGUAAUGCUUUGAUUAAAUAAUUGCUAGCUAGCCACGGCUCUGGUGCUCAUCAUGGGACCUUCUUUAACCGAGCUGUAACACUGUGUGGUGAAUCAGGACAUCUCAGGAGAGCGUGUUGCUUCCAUCCAGUGAUGAGAGGAUGUUUAGCUGCACGAUCUUGGCCUCGUUUUCCCUUUGCUGGAUCAUGGUGAUAUUGAGUCCUUUUCCUUCCUGGCAACCUAACUGCACAUUCCCGGAAGGCAGAAGCUGAAUUUCGUCUGUGCUCAUGCUUCAAACAGAAACAGGUGGGCCUUUGUAUACAAGGAAGUAAACCGAGGAGCAAGGCAGUAAAUAGUGUUCCUCCAUGGCUUCAAUUUCUGCCUUGCAUGAGUUCCUGCUGUGCCUUCCCUCCGCGAUGGACUGUGAUCAUGACAUGUAAAUCAAGUAAGUCCUUUCCUCCCCCCAAAUGUCUCUGGACAGUGUUAGUACAAUAGCAGCCAUGUAACUAAGACAGGUGCUGUACCCAGUAGGGUUCUGAUGGCUUUUUUUUCUUUACACUGGAGCAGAGUCUGAGAGCUAUUUACGAAGAGCAAAAUGCCCUCCUACCUAGUGCUUGGCCAGAGUUCAUUUCCCAAUCUCCCUCAUACUUCGGGUGGACAGGGAUUAAACUGUAGCCGCUGAGCAGAGAUGACGUUGGUUAUAUCUUAUCUUGGCGCAAAAAUUUCUCACCCCUGCCCUUCCAUACUCUUCCCAUUUCACUGAUUCUGGGGACAGGUGUCAUAGAUGUCAGUCACCAUUAGAAUGGUAUGCCGAGCCGGGCGGUGGUGGCACACGCCUUUAAUCCCAGCACUCGGGAGG
Long non-coding RNA from Mesocricetus auratus (golden hamster), 927 nucleotides. RefSeq lists it as uncharacterized. Lineage: Eukaryota; Metazoa; Chordata; Mammalia; Rodentia; Cricetidae. The record is from RefSeq and is a predicted model, not a curated record. The transcript has 3 exons.